UAGGGAAUCUUCCGCAAUGGACGAAAGUCUGACGGAGCAACGCCGCGUGAGUGAAGAAGGAUUUCGGUUCGUAAAACUCUGUUGUUAGGGAAGAAAAAAUGUAUAGUAACUAUAUACAAAAGAGACGGUACCUACCAGAAAGCCACGGCUAACUACGUGCCAGCAGCCGCGGUAAUACGUAGGUGGCAAGCGUUGUCCGGAAUUAUUGGGCGUAAAGCGCGCGCAGGUGGUUUAGAAAGUCUGAUGUGAAAGCCCACGGCUCAACCGUGGAGGGUCAUUGGAAACUAAUAAACUUGAGUGCAGGAGAGAAAAGUGGAAUUCCUAGUGUAGCGGUGAAAUGCGUAGAGAUUAGGAGGAACACCGGUGGCGAAAGCGGCUUUUUGGCCUGCAACUGACACUGAGGCGCGAAAGCGUGGGGAGCAAACAGG
RNAcentral lists this ribosomal RNA (428 nucleotides) under Verrucomicrobiota bacterium. RNAcentral describes it as "Verrucomicrobia bacterium partial 16S ribosomal RNA". It matches the Rfam family "Bacterial small subunit ribosomal RNA", at positions 355 to 776 of the family's 1533-position model. The record is from RNAcentral. Lineage: Bacteria; Pseudomonadati; Verrucomicrobiota.